UUUCUAGUCUUCUCACCAGUGAGCUCCUUACUAGUAAAGCAUGCCUCUUUUUUUGCCUACAGAUUUAUUUCCUCCAGAGGCAGUAAGUCCUCUGUCCGAAGAUUCCAGUCAGGGGUUGAGGGCCACUUUUACCAGCAGCGUUUCUCAAUGCCCUCCAGCAUCAGAUGAAGACAAGCUUUAUAAGGUCCCUUAGACUCACUGAGGCUUCAGAGAAACUCGUACAACUUCGGCAUCUUACCUGUGGCUUUUGAAACAUUGAAAGAAUGCGCUCCUGGCCCCUAAAUGUUGCCCAUGUCUCAAUGGGGUUUUGGAGCAAGGAAAGAAACAAAAGGCUCUUGGGCAACCAACAUCAGCCUGGAAGGCCAGAACUUCAUGUAUUAUACAGAACACUAUGGAGACUUGCCUCCAGUACUUUUCCUCAGGCAUUCUUCAAUCUUCUUUGACCAAGAAGAUAGAGUUUGGAUGGAUGUAAACAGAGGACUGGGCUUUUCCUGAAGUCAGAAAUUCAGAGCUCGGGAAAGAUUCUGCAGGUACAGAGAUUAUCCAGUACUGGCUGUGAAGAUAAUGGGAGUCAUAGGACAAGGAAAGCAAACAGCCUCUAUGAGCACAGUGGGCUCCCAAAAAAUAGUCCACGAGGAAGCACGUUCUUUCCUACCGACACCACAAGAGGUUGAAUUCUUCCCAUAACCUGAAUGAACUUGAAAGGGAUCCUACCUGAGAGCAUCCAAUGAGAACUCUGUUUGGCUGACACCUUGAUUUCAGCCUUAGAAUCGGUGGAUUCUGACCAGGACCAGUGGAUGAUGAAUACUGAGGCCAUCACUCAAUGCCUGGACUCAUUGACAAAGGGGUGUUGUUUUAGGUCACUAAAUUUGUGAUGAUUUGUUACAUGGUAAUAGAAAAGUAAUGUAAACCACUUGGAAUAUAGCUUAUUGCAAUCAAUUCAUAUUUAUAGUAAUUAUUAUUUAUAUCAAUAUUUAAUUCUUAAGGGCUAAUGAAAAUAUAAAAGAAUAUGCAUGGUUAUGAAUCAAAUACCCACACAUCCUAGUUAGCACACAAACGCUGUGCAUACUUAUAAUAUUGCCACGAUUAAGAAGUGUGGUAAGUAUUUUAGUAAAAUACACCCUUGAACUGUGAUUCCUAUUUUUAACUAUUUGGAUUUUGAGAGAAGAAACAUUUCUGCUUAUUUAUCAAAAGGACAUAAAAUACCUUCAAAACUUGUGUAAGCAGUUUUGCAUAUUUUCUCUCUGAACUAAUAAUUUUUAAAGCCAUUUAAAUUUCUCAAAUGCUUUAAGGUAAAUACUAUUAGUCUUUUACAUCGAUGUGGUAGGACAUGUAUCUAAGUCAUGCUGCUUUAUCCAUGACCCGUCUUUGAUGAUUCAUCCAGUUUGACAAGUAACUGUCUGCUUUUGAGCUCUUUGGUUUGCAUCAACAGUGAGAUGAAAUGAGACUUGAACAACAUGUACUAUUGAAGCAAAAUAUCAUACAAUCAUUGUAUUGUUAGAAAAAUAAAGCUUUGUAAUGGACAAAAA
This is a long non-coding RNA of Prionailurus viverrinus (fishing cat), 1529 nucleotides long. RefSeq lists it as uncharacterized. Lineage: Eukaryota; Metazoa; Chordata; Mammalia; Carnivora; Felidae. The record is from RefSeq and is a predicted model, not a curated record. The transcript has 4 exons.